Mus musculus (house mouse) is the source of this 842-nucleotide long non-coding RNA. RefSeq annotates it as predicted gene, 34097. The transcript has 6 exons. The record is from RefSeq and is a predicted model, not a curated record. NCBI's taxonomy places the organism in Eukaryota, Metazoa, Chordata, Mammalia, Rodentia, Muridae.
UCUGAUGCUUGGACUAAGAAAAUCACCUGCAAAAUUGCUUCUGCUUCUAACUCUGAAGACUACAUUGGCAUUAAGUCAAAUGAGGAACAGGAGCCGGUGUCUGAAUGGGUAACAGAAAGCUGGACCUUCACACCCCUGCAUGUGUCAACACUGGAGAUGAAGAAGUAGUCUGGGAAGUCACCACUCUCCCAACGCCACAGGCAAGAAGAGAAAGGUUGUGAUAUAAAGCUGGGGCUGCUUAGCAACCUGGAGCCUGGGAGUGAACUGUGAACUAUAAGAUUUAAGAAAGCGUAUCAGUGAAGGUCUGAGCAGGAAAGAGAGCGUAUUCUAAGUCUUUCAACCAGAAGAAAGAAAGGCAACAGACGUGAACGAGCAGAAGGUCAACUGGGCUAAGUUAGAUCAACCCAGACAUGAUCACAGAGGAUGCUUGAGAAAGGAGCACUGGAAACCGGGGCUGUGGGGAUGAAGAAGCAUGGGCAAGGCUUCAGGCAUGGGCACAGAGAGCCCAGGAGUUUGCUCUUUUGCCCUCAUCCCCAUUGUGUGAACAAUGUAUUCUCAGAGGUCCCCAGUGUGAAGAGUGUGUUUUCAGAGGUCUGCCCAGAGUGUAACUCAAACAGUCCACCACCAGCAUGGCAGAGUUGAUGGAGUCUGCAUGUGCACCAACAGUUGCUCCUGUUUUGAACAAUGAAGUCAUAACAACAACAGCAGCAGCAGCAGAGCAACAACAACAACAACGAAAAAACACGAGGAAAGCAUGGGGACCUGUUGCAUUAAGGAAGAAGUUUGUUUUGGGGGAGUCUGGAAUUUUUUUUCUCUGUGUUGUGUUCACUGAGAUGCAUUGA